Molecule: ribosomal RNA, 499 nt
Filed under: uncultured bacterium
Lineage: Bacteria
Description: partial 16S ribosomal RNA
Rfam family: Bacterial small subunit ribosomal RNA
Source: RNAcentral
GAUGAACGCUGGCGGCGUGCCUAAUACAUGCAAGUCGAGCGAACAGACGAGAGUGCUUGCACUCUCUGACGUUAGCGGCGGACGGGUGAGUAACACGUGGGUAACCUACCUAUAAGACUGGGAUAACUUCGGGAAACCGGAGCUAAUACCGGAUAAUAUUUAGCUUCGCAUGAAGCAAUAGUGAAAGACGGUUCUGCUGUCACUUAUAGAUGGACCCGCGGUGUAUUAGCUAGUUGGUGAGGUAACGGCUCACCAAGGCAACGAUACAUAGCCGACCUGAGAGGGUGAUCGGCCACACUGGGACUGAGACACGGCCCAGACUCCUACGGGAGGCAGCAGUAGGGAAUCUUCCGCAAUGGACGAAAGUCUGGCGGAGCAAUGCCGCGUGAGUGAAGAAGGUUUUCGGAUCGUAAAACUCUGUUGUAAGGGAAGAACAAGUACGUUAGUAACUGAACGUACCUUGACGGUACCUUACCAGAAAGCCACGGCUAACUACGUG